AAGAUACUAGUAUAGCUGACAAUACACUGCUUUGUCAAGGCAGAAUCGUGGGUUAAACCCCCCACGUAUCUUA
Molecule: transfer RNA, 73 nt
Filed under: Sicyopterus japonicus (grazing goby)
Lineage: Eukaryota; Metazoa; Chordata; Actinopteri; Gobiiformes; Gobiidae
Description: tRNA-Asp
Rfam family: tRNA
About the family: Transfer RNA (tRNA) molecules are approximately 80 nucleotides in length. Their secondary structure includes four short double-helical elements and three loops (D, anti-codon, and T loops). Further hydrogen bonds mediate the characteristic L-shaped molecular structure. tRNAs have two regions of fundamental functional importance: the anti-codon, which is responsible for specific mRNA codon recognition, and the 3' end, to which the tRNAs corresponding amino acid is attached (by aminoacyl-tRNA synthetases). tRNAs cope with the degeneracy of the genetic code in two manners: having more than one tRNA (with a specific anti-codon) for a particular amino acid; and 'wobble' base-pairing, i.e. permitting non-standard base-pairing at the 3rd anti-codon position.
Source: RNAcentral